This 207-nucleotide ribosomal RNA is filed under the name uncultured bacterium. RNAcentral describes it as "partial 16S ribosomal RNA". It matches the Rfam family "Bacterial small subunit ribosomal RNA", at positions 568 to 774 of the family's 1533-position model. The record is from RNAcentral.
CUCGUAGGCGGUUUGUCGCGUCGGGAGUGAAAACACCGGGCUUAACCCGGUGCUUGCUUUCGAUACGGGCAGACUGGAGGUAUGCAGGGGAGAACGGAAUUCCUGGUGUAGCGGUGAAAUGCGCAGAUAUCAGGAGGAACACCGGUGGCGAAGGCGGUUCUCUGGGCAUGACCUGACGCUGAGGAGCGAAAGUGUGGGGAGCGAACA